Molecule: non-coding RNA, 73 nt
Organism: Agrilus planipennis (emerald ash borer)
Lineage: Eukaryota; Metazoa; Arthropoda; Insecta; Coleoptera; Buprestidae
Source: Rfam
CCUCUCGUAGUUUAGUUGUCAAAACAUUGGUGCGUAAUGCCAAAGGUCCCGGGUUCGAUUCCCGGCGGGGGUG